This is an RNA transcript of Cataglyphis hispanica, 2289 nucleotides long. It is a transcript of the gene named B9 domain-containing protein 1, with no coding region annotated. The transcript is spliced from 6 exons. Lineage: Eukaryota; Metazoa; Arthropoda; Insecta; Hymenoptera; Formicidae. The record is from RefSeq and is a predicted model, not a curated record.
UGAUAAAAGUCAUCGAGAGUUGAAAAAAUCAAUUAAGGUAAGAAUAAUUAUAAGAAUAAUAAUAAUUAUUAUAAGUACUUUAUUUGAAAAUAACGUUGAUUCGUCAGAAAUUAAUUUAAAUUAAUUUAUGACAAAAAAUUAUGAAAAGAGAGAAAAAGAAAUCGCCAAGAAAUGCUCCGCUUACAUAGUCGACACGACAUAUGUGUCGGCUAGGUGUGUUUCCAUGACAACAACGUAAGGUGCAAUGCCACAAACAGAAAGUUAAAAGGUUCCUUUGCAAUUGCUCUUUGAGUGUCUCUUAGUUUAUUCUAUUGUUAAAAACUUAAAAAAUCAACGCUAAUUCUGUUCGACCAGUAUGACAGUGGAAGGACAAUUUUUUCUAUCCCUCACCGGGUCGAUUGAGCAUGCAGAAUUCUAUGAUGCCGAUAACGUUUACUGCAAGUACAGUUUUCAUUUCGGACCGGAAUGGAACGUAGUCACGGGAAUCGAAGAAGGUUUGACGCAAAUGUGUAAGUGCAGCAACGAUCCAAGGAAUCUCGCUGUUUGGAAUUUUCCUCUGAAUAUUACGUUUAAAAGUACAAAUCCACACGGAUGGCCACAGCUUAUUAUGUCGAUCUAUGGUUUGGAUUUGUUCGGUCAUGACGUAAUUAGAGGAUACGGAGUGUGCCAUUUGCCUCUGAAAACGGGACAUCACGAGAAAAGGGUAUCUAUCUACGUACCGGAAUCGUCGUCCACGCUGCAGCGUUUCAUGGAGUGGUUAACCGGCAGGAGACCGGAAUUAAUUGAUUCCGCCAUACUAGCAUCCGGUGGCGGCAGAGAACUCACACGCAUGAGGGUCGAGGGAGUCGUAACCGUAACAUUCAACGUCAUUUUGAAGGAUUUCUUCAAGUUGGGUUACGACAACGGCGAGAAAUGGAAGAAAUGAUAACGCGACCGUUAAACUCCCGUCAGCUCAAGGAGAGGAGGAUUACCCUGCCAUAGGAUUAUCUUAUCAAGGAAGGCAUUUUGUAAACAAAAAAAAGAGAAAAAGAGAGAAGACGCGAAAAGAGAGAGAACGGAAGCUAAUCCUUUAUGAGGAAUUUAUUAAAUUUAACGCGGCUUUAAUCUCCGCGAGAUGAUUCCGAUAAUGUCAUCGAUGAUGCACGAUGUGCGUAGGUGUGUGGUUGCGAUAGUGUAGCUGAAAAAUAGAUAACGACCGGCCCCGGAUUUCCCGAAAGAGGAUUAAAAACGUCGUUUACAUCGAAAUUACGCAGGUAUCUUGACGGAAAAGCUGUUUGUAGCAGCCUCUGAUUUUUUUGCGCGAUUAUAGCUGACCGAAGCAGCCGCUUUACAUAUCGCUGAAUAUUGCGUUCGAGAUCUCAUCUCGAACGGUGGAGUGCAUUACCCUUUACUGCGCGGAAAAGCCGAGCGAUCCAAGAAUUACAUGCGGCUAUAUCCCCUCGUACGUGUUAUGAGAUAAACGUACGUUGUAAAUAUAAAGCGAAUUACACAUAAACAAAGGGAAUGUUUACUCUUGCAAUCAAUGUUGCAAACUUGAAAUAUAUACGAUAAACUCAAAUAAAUCGUAAAAUUGUAUAUUAUUACUAAUGUAAACAAUAUGUAAAAAAAAAUCUCUUAAAACUCGAAUGUUAUUUUAGCAAAUAUUAUUUUAAGGAGAUUUAGUGUAGAAAAUAUUGACAAGCCGCGACGAAAGAGAUCCAUACUGCAGCUUUUUCAUUUUUAAUAUUCUUCUGCAACGAAUCCUCGAGUAUCAGAAAACGAUAGAUCAAAGUAUGUCAAAUAUGUAUUUCAUAAGGGUUACAUCGGUGGCCUCUCGCAAGUUAACAAGAUGAUGCCGUUAGAGAUGCCUUAAUAAUGAUUUAAUAACACGCGACGUAAAGAUCGAGAGACCGGCUUUAAGGAUGGCCGAGUUUUAAUCUAGACGUAUCGUGGGCACGUAAAAGCGAUUAUAUGCGCGGGGCCAUUCGGAUGUCAAGCUAGAGUGCACGGAGAUGACGUCGUCGCAUUUUACGAGCGAGGCGCGCGUUAAAGAUAGCUAAAAUGAAAGUACUGCAAACUAUAGAGCAGGCUGGGGGAUAGAUCGUAAACGUACAAGUCGCGAAAUAAGCGAGCGAGCUGCAGAUAAAAGGAUGCUCUCCGUUAUAGUUAUUCUUUCGCGUGAACUAACAAGAUCGAUUCCCGGAACAGAAUGCGCGAUCCAAUUAUGCAAAUGAUGCUAAUAUGCAAAUCGUAUGUUUUAUUUUUCAGCUCUUAAAUCGCGCAUCAUAUCACGCUCUUAACAACAUGAUU